AUGGGGGAACAGGAGCAGAAGGCAGUGACCUGGCCAUGCCCUUGGCUACAGAGCUGCACUGCUGUUGUGCCAUGCAGAUCCCAGCCCCUUCAGACACAGCUUCUGAGGCACAGGUUAUGGAAGCAUGUGUUGAAGUGGUAUCAUCCUCAGCCCAGAUCCCUGUGUGACUCAUUCGAGAACUGUCCCUAAUUAGACAUGUUGAAUGAUAAAUUGUACCAUCAUCUUAGAUAUAAAUCAUUCCCACUCCAAAGAAAAGAAUGGGAGAAAUUUGAAUAUUCUGCACUCAGAGACAAAAACCACUAAAUGAUGUGCUGAAGAUACUACUACUAAUAUUUCACAUUAUGAUUAUGGUCUCUGCAUUGAAAAUCUAUGGGGAUUUUUCCAAUUAAUUUUCAAAUAUUUACACAGCCUCUCUGAAAUACAUAAUAAAACACA
Long non-coding RNA from Canis lupus familiaris (dog), 435 nucleotides. RefSeq lists it as uncharacterized. NCBI's taxonomy places the organism in Eukaryota, Metazoa, Chordata, Mammalia, Carnivora, Canidae. The transcript is spliced from 4 exons. The record is from RefSeq and is a predicted model, not a curated record.